AAAGUCGUAACAAGGUCUCCGUUGGUGAACCAGCGGAGGGAUCAUUACAGAGUUAUCCAACUCCCAAACCCAUGUGAACUUAUCUCUUUGUUGCCUCGGCGCAAGCUACCCGGGACCUCGCGCCCCGGGCGGCCCGCCGGCGGACAAACCAAAACUCUUGUUAUCUUCGUUGAUUAUCUGAGUGUCUUAUUUAAUAAGUCAAAACUUUCAACAACGGAUCUCUUGGUUCUG
Molecule: unclassified non-coding RNA, 231 nt
Filed under: Nigrospora oryzae
Lineage: Eukaryota; Fungi; Ascomycota; Sordariomycetes; Amphisphaeriales; Apiosporaceae
Description: partial internal transcribed spacer region
Rfam family: Eukaryotic small subunit ribosomal RNA (bases 1-47)
Source: RNAcentral